AGAGUUUGAUCCUGGCUCAGGACGAACGCUGGCGGCGUGCUUAACACAUGCAAGUCGAACGGAAAGGCCCCUUCGGGGGUGCUCGAGUGGCGAACGGGUGAGUAACACGUGGGUGAUCUGCCCUGCACUUUGGGAUAAGCCUGGGAAACUGGGUCUAAUACCGGAUAGGACUACGGGAUGCAUGUCCUGUGGUGGAAAGCGUUUGCGGUGUGGGAUGGGCCCGCGGCCUAUCAGCUUGUUGGUGGGGUGAUGGCCUACCAAGGCGACGACGGGUAGCCGGCCUGAGAGGGUGUCCGGCCACACUGGGACUGAGAUACGGCCCAGACUCCUACGGGAGGCAGCAGUGGGGAAUAUUGCACAAUGGGCGCAAGCCUGAUGCAGCGACGCCGCGUGGGGGAUGACGGCCUUCGGGUUGUAAACCUCUUUCAGUCACGACGAAGCGUAAGUGACGGUAGUGACAGAAGAAGCACCGGCCAACUACGUGCCAGCAGCCGCGGUAAUACGUAGGGUGCGAGCGUUGUCCGGAAUUACUGGGCGUAAAGAGCUCGUAGGUGGUUUGUCGCGUUGUUCGUGAAAACUCACAGCUCAACUGUGGGCGUGCGGGCGAUACGGGCAGACUGGAGUACUGCAGGGGAGACUGGAAUUCCUGGUGUAGCGGUGGAAUGCGCAGAUAUCAGGAGGAACACCGGUGGCGAAGGCGGGUCUCUGGGCAGUAACUGACGCUGAGGAGCGAAAGCGUGGGGAGCGAACAGGAUUAGAUACCCUAGUAGUCC
Molecule: ribosomal RNA, 773 nt
Filed under: uncultured bacterium
Lineage: Bacteria
Description: bacterial SSU rRNA
Rfam family: Bacterial small subunit ribosomal RNA
Source: RNAcentral